AUCCAGCUGACGAGUCUCGAAAAAGACGAAACUCGCGUACUGGAU
RNAcentral lists this non-coding RNA (45 nucleotides) under Schistosoma mansoni. The record is from RNAcentral. Lineage: Eukaryota; Metazoa; Platyhelminthes; Trematoda; Strigeidida; Schistosomatidae.